UGUAACUAAAUAGCAUUACCAGAGACAGCAGGUGUUGCACCGCAACUGAAGCAUCCUGCCGAGGUAGUCCCCACAGUCUUCGUACUGUUGAUCUAUUUCGCUCUGGCAACCGAAUUUGCCGGAGCUUUUUUGUUGCAAGA
Molecule: non-coding RNA, 140 nt
Organism: Synechococcus elongatus PCC 6301
Lineage: Bacteria; Bacillati; Cyanobacteriota; Cyanophyceae; Synechococcales; Synechococcaceae
Source: Rfam